AUACCACUUGGAAACAGGUGGCUAAUACCGGAUAAGAAAGCGGAUCGCAUGAUCAGCUUUUAAAAGGCGGCGUAAGCUGUCGCUAUGGGAUGGCCCCGCGGUGCAUUAGCUAGUUGGUAAGGUAAAGGCUUACCAAGGCGAUGAUGCAUAGCCGAGUUGAGAGACUGAUCGGCCACAUUGGGACUGAGACACGGCCCAAACUCCUACGGGAGGCAGCAGGC
RNAcentral lists this ribosomal RNA (221 nucleotides) under uncultured Lactobacillus sp. RNAcentral describes it as "partial 16S ribosomal RNA". It matches the Rfam family "Bacterial small subunit ribosomal RNA", at positions 143 to 354 of the family's 1533-position model. The record is from RNAcentral. Lineage: Bacteria; Bacillati; Bacillota; Bacilli; Lactobacillales; Lactobacillaceae.